GACGAACCGUGCAAACGUUAUUCGGAAUCACUGGGCCUAAAGGGCGCGUAGGCGGCUCCAUAAGUCAGGGGUGAAAUCCGGCAGCUUAACUGUCGCAGUGCCUUUGAUACUGUGGAGCUAGAGGGAGGUAGGGGUCUGUGGAACUUCCGGUGGAGCGGUGAAAUGCGUUGAUAUCGGAAGGAACGCCGGUGGCGAAAGCGACGGACUGGAUCUCUUCUGACGCUGAGGCGCGAAAGCCAGGGGAGCAAACGAG
Molecule: ribosomal RNA, 253 nt
Filed under: uncultured bacterium
Lineage: Bacteria
Description: partial 16S ribosomal RNA
Rfam family: Bacterial small subunit ribosomal RNA
Source: RNAcentral